AUCCAAUCCAACCUUUAGACUAAAUUGGAAAUCCUUGCUACAUCUAGCUGGUUUUUCUACACUGAGUCCUUUUGAGCCAUUGCUUCUAUUCAUCGUUGUGAGAUGUCUUGGGGAUGAAGCAUGAUUUCAGCGCUCCUUAUUUCCCACCUUCCAGGAUGAGAUGAUCUCUUCAGCUUCAUAAAAAUGAUGUGCUUGCAUAUUUUACCAUAAUAAAAAUUCCAAAUUAAUUGAUAUACUGAAAAUGAAUAAAGAGAUUCAUUAAAUA
Cavia porcellus (domestic guinea pig) is the source of this 265-nucleotide long non-coding RNA. RefSeq lists it as uncharacterized. The record is from RefSeq and is a predicted model, not a curated record. NCBI's taxonomy places the organism in Eukaryota, Metazoa, Chordata, Mammalia, Rodentia, Caviidae. The transcript is spliced from 2 exons.